Long non-coding RNA from Trachymyrmex septentrionalis, 483 nucleotides. RefSeq lists it as uncharacterized. The transcript is spliced from 4 exons. NCBI's taxonomy places the organism in Eukaryota, Metazoa, Arthropoda, Insecta, Hymenoptera, Formicidae. The record is from RefSeq and is a predicted model, not a curated record.
AAAAACCGAACGCACCCAUUGAAACUGUUCACAAUUUCACAAAAUUUUUCCGACAAGAUUUUUAAAACAAGACCAUAUUUGAGCAUUAAGGAGAAAGAAAGCGAAGAUUCUAAGUAUGUGCAAUGAAGAAUUAAUCUGAGAGGAGGAGGGGUCUGUAAGAGGUAUUGGACAAUAGCAGAGCAACCGUAUAGAUUAAUGCAGUUUUACUACAAACUUUGCUGCUGUGCAUUGGAUGGGAAGUAAUGAAAUUCACGUUACUUUCAAUUAUCGGGAGUGCCGUGUAAAGUGUCGCGUGAUUAUCUUAGUUGGAUGAUGAAUUCACAUGUGCCGUAAUUAACCGUUGCAAAUGUUGUGUUUGUGUUGUAUGUGUGUGCAAUGAAGGAAUCUGAGAGGAGGAGGAGGCCUGGGAGGCAUCAGGCGACGGCGGAGCAACCAUGGAUUAAUGCAGUUUUGUAAACUCCGCUGCUGCGCAUCGGGCCGGUG